Long non-coding RNA from Octopus bimaculoides (California two-spot octopus), 479 nucleotides. The record is from RefSeq and is a predicted model, not a curated record. NCBI's taxonomy places the organism in Eukaryota, Metazoa, Mollusca, Cephalopoda, Octopoda, Octopodidae.
UUGCAUGAAUAGCAACAGUAUAAGUCAACAAUUGAUUGUUUGUUAAAUCUGUAGUUUCUUGUCUCUUUCUAGGUUUUGAAACAGUCAGCACAGGAAAUAACCAAUCAUCCAAAUGUCGGUUGCUAUAUCUAUGGUUUAUUUGUCGAAGGUGCCAGAUGGUCUGGAGAUGAACACUGUUUGGUUGAAAGUAGACCUAAGGAACUUUUCACAGAUAUGGCUACCAUCUGGUUGAUCCCUAUGUCUAACAAACCGCCAUUGCUGUCUGGUAUAUACGAAUGCCCUGUAUAUAAAACACUCACCAGAGCAGGAACUUUGUCUACGACUGGUCACUCAACUAACUUUGUAUUUACAAUUGAAAUCCCAAGUAAUGAAAAACAAAGUUACUGGGUGAAGCGAGGUGUGGCCUUGCUGUGUGCAUUGAAUUAUUAAUCUUAUCAUUUGAAUAUAUCAGAAAUAAAAUUGUUUCAUUAUUCUACUAA